Molecule: ribosomal RNA, 452 nt
Filed under: Acinetobacter tjernbergiae
Lineage: Bacteria; Pseudomonadati; Pseudomonadota; Gammaproteobacteria; Moraxellales; Moraxellaceae
Description: bacterial SSU rRNA
Rfam family: Bacterial small subunit ribosomal RNA
Source: RNAcentral
CAUGCAAGUCGAGCGGAGAUGAGGUGCUUGCACCUUAUCUUAGCGGCGGACGGGUGAGUAAUGCUUAGGAAUCUGCCAUUUAGUGGGGGACAACAUUUCGAAAGGGAUGCUAAUACCGCAUACGUCCUACGGGAGAAAGCAGGGGAUCUUCGGACCUUGCGCUAAAUGAUGAGCCUAAGUCGGAUUAGCUAGUUGGUGGGGUAAAGGCCUACCAAGGCGACGAUCUGUAGCGGGUCUGAGAGGAUGAUCCGCCACACUGGGACUGAGACACGGCCCAGACUCCUACGGGAGGCAGCAGUGGGGAAUAUUGGACAAUGGGCGGAAGCCUGAUCCAGCCAUGCCGCGUGUGUGAAGAAGGCCUUUUGGUUGUAAAGCACUUUAAGCGAGGAGGAGGCUACUUAGAUUAAUACUCUAGGAUAGUGGACGUUACUCGCAGAAUAAGCACCGGCUAA